This 501-nucleotide ribosomal RNA is filed under the name uncultured bacterium. Its description in RNAcentral is "partial 16S ribosomal RNA". It matches the Rfam family "Bacterial small subunit ribosomal RNA", at positions 30 to 523 of the family's 1533-position model. The record is from RNAcentral.
AUUGAACGCUGGCGGCAGGCUUAACACAUGCAAGUCGAGCGGGGAAGGGUAGCUUGCUACCUGACCUAGCGGCGGACGGGUGAGUAAUGCUUAGGAAUCUGCCUAUUAGUGGGGGACAACAUUCCGAAAGGAAUGCUAAUACCGCAUACGCCCUACGGGGGAAAGCAGGGGAUCUUCGGACCUUGCGCUAAUAGAUGAGCCUAAGUCAGAUUAGAUAGUUGGUGGGGUAAAGGCCUAUCAAGGCGACGAUCUGUAGCGGGUCUGAGAGGAUGAGCCACCACACUGGGCCAGGAACACGGCCCAGACUCCGACGGGAGGCAGCAGUGGGGAAUAUUGGACAAUGGGCGAAAGCCUGAUCCAGCCAUGCCGCGUGUGUGAAGAAGGCCUUUUGGUUGUAAAGCACUUUAAGCGAGGAGGAGGCUACUUGGAUUAAUACUCUAGGAUAGUGGACGUUACUCGCAGAAUAAGCACCGGCUAACUCUGUGCCAGCCGCCGCAGUAA